RNAcentral lists this ribosomal RNA (502 nucleotides) under uncultured bacterium. Its description in RNAcentral is "partial 16S ribosomal RNA". It matches the Rfam family "Bacterial small subunit ribosomal RNA", at positions 28 to 507 of the family's 1533-position model. The record is from RNAcentral.
GACGAACGCUGGCGGCGUGCUUAACACAUGCAAGUCGAACGGUGAAGGGGUCUGCUUUUGUGGGCCCUGGAUGAGUGGCGAACGGGUGAGUAACACGUGAGUAACCUGCCCCCUUCUUCUGGAUAACCGCAUGAAAGUGUGGCUAAUACGGGGUAUUCUGGGUCUGUCGCAUGAUGGGUCUGGGAAAGAUUGCGCCUUUGGGUGUUUUUGGUUGGGGAUGGGCUCGCGGCCUAUCAGCUUGUUGGUGGGGUGAUGGCCUACCAAGGCGGUGACGGGUAGCCGGCCUGAGAGGGUGGACGGUCACACUGGGACUGAGACACGGCCCAGACUCCUACGGGCGGCAGCAGUGGGGAAUAUUGCACAAUGGGCGCAAGCCUGAUGCAGCGACGCCGCGUGAGGGAUGGAGGCCUUCGGGUUGUAAACCUCUUUCGCCAGUGAAGCAGGCCUGCUCCUUGUGGGUGGGUUGACGGUAGCUGGAUAAGAAGCGCCGGCUAACUACGUG